AGAAAUCGCUGUCAAAAGAUUAUCGAAAUCUUCACAACAGGGUCUGGAAGAGUUCAGAAAUGAAGUUAUGGUGAUUGCAAAACUUCAACACAGAAAUCUCGUAAGACUAUUGGGAUGUUGCAUUGAAGAAGAAGAAAGGAUGCUAAUCUAUGAAUACCUGCAGAAUAAAAGCCUUGACCUCUUUGUUUUUGGUACACUCUGAUUAGCUUGUCAUAUCCCAUACUUGUUAAUCCUGCAAAAACCAAUAAAUUUAACAUGAUGUUCAAUCAUUUGCAGAUCACAGUGAGAAAACACUACUGACAUGGCCUAAGCGUUUUAAGAUUAUCAUGGGAAUUGCAAGGGGACUGCUAUAUCUCCAUCACGAUUCCAGAUUAAAGAUUAUUCAUAGGGAUCUCAAAACGAGUAAUAUUUUACUAGACGGACAUUUAAAUCCAAAAAUAUCAGAUUUCGGCUUAGCAAGAAUAUUUGAAGAGGAUCAAUCUCUUGCCAGAACAAAAAGAGUUGUUGGGACAUAGUAAGUUUUCUUCAUAUCAUCAAAUUCCUUCAUUCAUUUUCUAUGGUGGCAUUAAGAUGAAUACAUUUAUGCAGUGGAUAUAUGGCUCCGGAAUAUGCAAUUGAUGGGAAAUUCUCGGUGAAAUCUGACAUCUUUAGUCUUGGAGUGGUUUUGUUGGAGAUUAUCAGUGGGAAAAAGAACAGAGGAUAUGGAGACUCCGACCACUAUCUUAACCUCUUGGGCCAUGUAUACAAAUUAAAACUUUGAUGCCAUUUUCAUGAAACAAUUUUUCUCAGUAACUUACUUGUUGAUAUAUCCUUGUGGCAGGCAUGGUUGCUAUGGAAAGAAAACAGGAUUUUGGAGUUAAUGGAUGAGUAUUUGAAUGAUACAUUUGCGGAGUAUGAAGUGAAGAGAUGCAUGCAAGUGGGAUUAUUAUGUGUUCAGAAAUUUGCAGAAGAUAGGCCAAACAUGUCAUCUGUGGUGUCAAUGUUAGGAAAUGAUGGAGUAAUUUUGGCAGAACCUAAAGAGCCUGGGUUUUUUAUGGAGAGAAGUUGCAGUCUUGCGAGAAGUAGUACUUCAGAAGAUAAAACAUUGACCAUUACUGACCUGGAGGGCAGAUGAGGAGCUCCACAUCCAUCGUUUCUCGCUCUAAUUCUAAUCUUUUUCCGACGACGACUGAGGAUUGUAGUUGCGUG
This 1188-nucleotide long non-coding RNA is filed under the name Salvia miltiorrhiza (redroot sage). RNAcentral's name for it is "long non-coding RNA (SMIL_LNC004853)". Lineage: Eukaryota; Viridiplantae; Streptophyta; Magnoliopsida; Lamiales; Lamiaceae. The record is from RNAcentral.